RNAcentral lists this long non-coding RNA (532 nucleotides) under Equus caballus (horse). Its description in RNAcentral is "lncRNA (ENSECAG00000046601.1)". The record is from RNAcentral. Lineage: Eukaryota; Metazoa; Chordata; Mammalia; Perissodactyla; Equidae.
GUAUGUAGAGGAGGGGAGGAAUACGCUUCUUGAGGUGAUCAAAGAAUCAGGAAUGAAGAGAGAGAAAAGAACAAAUCAGGGCCAUGAAUCCCCUUCUGUCUGUUUCUGGCCCUGAGUCAACUUCACCAGUUCACAGGAAAGGAACAUGUAAUCUGGUGAGCUAUCAGAGGAUUGGAGAAACAAGAGCCCUGCCCUUGGAUAAGGUCCUGACCAGGCAGUGGCAGUGAGCCUAGGAGGAAAAAUCUCACCUUGCUUUUCAAGCAUAAAGCUGACAGUUCUACUAGAGGCACACAGGAAGUCACUCUGGCUUCACUGCCGAGAUCCUCUGUACCCAGAAGCAUCUGUUCCCUUUGUGGUUGGGAGGGGACACCAGCCAAGAGAAGAUACUGGGUCAGUCUAGGACUAUAUACUCUGGGGCUAGUCACCAAAUAUUGCAAGAGACAUAUUAAAAACUAUUAGUUAUUCAAAAUACAAAUUUAACUGGGUGCUUUGUAUUUUUUUUGCUCAAUCUCACAACUCUACUUGGUGGCCC